Molecule: ribosomal RNA, 632 nt
Filed under: Pseudomonas sp. Horo_23
Lineage: Bacteria; Pseudomonadati; Pseudomonadota; Gammaproteobacteria; Pseudomonadales; Pseudomonadaceae
Description: bacterial SSU rRNA
Rfam family: Bacterial small subunit ribosomal RNA
Source: RNAcentral
UGCAGUCGAGCGGAUGAAGGGAGCUUGCUCCUGGAUUCAGCGGCGGACGGGUGAGUAAUGCCUAGGAAUCUGCCUGGUAGUGGGGGAUAACGUCCGGAAACGGGCGCUAAUACCGCAUACGUCCUGAGGGAGAAAGUGGGGGAUCUUCGGACCUCACGCUAUCAGAUGAGCCUAGGUCGGAUUAGCUAGUUGGUGGGGUAAAGGCCUACCAAGGCGACGAUCCGUAACUGGUCUGAGAGGAUGAUCAGUCACACUGGAACUGAGACACGGUCCAGACUCCUACGGGAGGCAGCAGUGGGGAAUAUUGGACAAUGGGCGAAAGCCUGAUCCAGCCAUGCCGCGUGUGUGAAGAAGGUCUUCGGAUUGUAAAGCACUUUAAGUUGGGAGGAAGGGCAGUAAGUUAAUACCUUGCUGUUUUGACGUUACCAACAGAAUAAGCACCGGCUAACUUCGUGCCAGCAGCCGCGGUAAUACGAAGGGUGCAAGCGUUAAUCGGAAUUACUGGGCGUAAAGCGCGCGUAGGUGGUUCAGCAAGUUGGAUGUGAAAUCCCCGGGCUCAACCUGGGAACUGCAUCCAAAACUACUGAGCUAGAGUACGGUAGAGGGUGGUGGAAUUUCCUGUGUAGCGGUGA